Molecule: ribosomal RNA, 1066 nt
Filed under: Clostridium lundense
Lineage: Bacteria; Bacillati; Bacillota; Clostridia; Eubacteriales; Clostridiaceae
Description: bacterial SSU rRNA
Rfam family: Bacterial small subunit ribosomal RNA
Source: RNAcentral
AAGGUUUUUGGGAUUUUUAAAAACCCCUUUUUUUUCGGGAACGGAAAAGGACGGUAACAAAAGGAAGGAAGCCCCCGGCCCAAACUCCGGAGGCGGCAGCCGCGGUUAAUAAGUAAGUUGGGCGAACGUUUAUCCCGAAUUUUACUGGGCGUUAAAGGGAGCGGUAAGGCGGAUCUUUAAGUUGGGAUGUGAAAUACCCGCGCUCCAACUUGGGUGCUGCAUUUCAAACUGGGGAUCUUGAGUGCAGGAGAGGUAAGUGGAAUUCCUAGUGUAGCGGUGAAAUGCGUAGAGAUUUGGAAGAACUCCAGUGGCGAAGGCGACUUACUGGACUGUAACUGACGCUGAGGCAUGAAAGCGUGGGUAGCAAACAGGAUUAGAUAACUUGGUUGUCCACGCCGUAAACGAUGAAUUCUAGGUGUUGGAGGUAUCGACCCCUUCUGUGCCGCAGUUAACACUAUAAGUUUUCCGCCUGGGGAGCACGGUCGCAAGAUUAAAACUCAAAGGAAUUGACGGGGGCCCGCACAAGCAGCGGAGCAUGUGGUUUAAUUCGAAGCAACGCGAAGAACCUUACCUAGACUUGACAUCCCCUGAAUUACUCGUAACGGAGGAAGUCCUUCGGGGCAGGGAGACAGGUGGUGCAUGGUUGUCGUCAGCUCGUGUCGUGAGAUGUUGGGUUAAGUCCCGCAACGAGCGCAACCCUUAUCAUUAGUUGCUACCAUUAAGUUGAGCACUCUAAUGAGACCGCCCGGGUUAACCGGGAGGAAGGUGGGGAUGACGUCAAAUCAUCAUGCCCCUUAUGUCUAGGGCUACACACGUGCUACAAUGGUGAGUACAAAGAGAUGCAAGACCGCAAGGUGGAGCAAAACUCAAAAACUCAUCCCAGUUCGGAUUGUAGGCUGAAACUCGCCUACAUGAAGCCGGAGUUGCUAGUAAUCGCGAAUCAGCAUGUCGCGGUGAAUACGUUCCCGGGCCUUGUACACACCGCCCGUCACACCAUGAGAGUUGGCAACACCCGAAGUCCGUGAGGUAACCGUAAGGAGCCAGCGGUUACGAAGGUGGUACGGGG